Molecule: ribosomal RNA, 456 nt
Filed under: uncultured bacterium
Lineage: Bacteria
Description: bacterial SSU rRNA
Rfam family: Bacterial small subunit ribosomal RNA
Source: RNAcentral
GAGUGGACUCCUACGGGAGGCAGCAGUGGGGAAUAUUGGACAAUGGAGGAAACUCUGAUCCAGCAAUUCUGUGUGCACGAAGAAGGUUUUCGGAUUGUAAAGUGCUUUCAGUAGGGAAGAAGAAAGUGACGGUACCUACAGAAGAAGCGACGGCUAAAUACGUGCCAGCAGCCGCGGUAAUACGUAUGUCGCAAGCGUUAUCCGGAAUUAUUGGGCUUAAAGGGCAUCUAGGCGGUUUUUCAAGUCAGGGGUGAAAACUUAUGGCUCAACCAUAAGCUUGCCUUUGAAACUGAAAAACUAGAGUACUGGAAAGGUGGGUGGAACUACACGAGUAGAGGUGAAAUUCGUAGAUAUGUGUAGGAAUGCCGAUGAUGAAGAUAACUCACUGGACAGAAACUGACGCUGAAGUGCGAAAGCUAGGGGAGCAAACAGGAUUAGAUACCCUUGUAGUCCUAG